GAUCCGUCGUAUAAGGAGAUAUCAAAUCGAGCUAAGAAAAAUCGUGCUUCUUCUAAAGGAGGAGCUGUCCAUACAGGCUGAAGAGUUAGGUAGAGACCCCACAUUGGAUGAGGUCUUUUUAAAAACUCACACUAAGAAGAAGGACAACUCUUGGGUUGAUGAAAGAGCAAAAAAAAACAUAUGAAACAUUUCAAGGUAAGUUGCAACAAGCCUAUAAAGGUGGGGAAACAUCUAGUAGUU
Non-coding RNA from Cicer arietinum (chickpea), 240 nucleotides. The record is from RefSeq and is a predicted model, not a curated record. Lineage: Eukaryota; Viridiplantae; Streptophyta; Magnoliopsida; Fabales; Fabaceae.